UAGAGUUUGAUCCUGGCUCAGAAUGAACGCUGGCGGCGUGCCUAACACAUGCAAGUCGGACGCGAAAACUCCCUCGGGAGUGAGUAGAGUGGCGCACGGGUGAGUAACGCGUAGGUAAUCUACCUCUGGAUUGGGGAUAACUCUGCGAAAGCGGAGCUAAUACCGAAUGGUCUGGCUUUAUUUUUAUGAAGUCGGUAAAGGAUGCCUCUGCAUAUGCAUCUGUCCGGAGAUGAGCCUGCGUCCCAUUAGCUAGUUGGUAGGGUAAAGGCCUACCAAGGCGACGAUGGGUAGCUGGUCUGAGAGGAUGAUCAGCCACACUGGAACUGGAACACGGUCCAGACUCCUACGGGAGGCAGCAGUGGGGAAUAUUGGGCAAUGGGCGCAAGCCUGACCCAGCAACGCCGUGUGAGGGAUGAAGGCCUUCGGGUCGUAAACCUCUGUCAGAAGGGAAGAACGGGCACAGUUCGAAUAGGGCUGUGUUUUGACGGUACCUUCAGAGGAAGCACCGGCUAACUCCGUGCCAGCAGCCGCGGUAAUACA
RNAcentral lists this ribosomal RNA (540 nucleotides) under Desulfomicrobiaceae bacterium 60bM. RNAcentral describes it as "bacterial SSU rRNA". It matches the Rfam family "Bacterial small subunit ribosomal RNA", at positions 1 to 527 of the family's 1533-position model. The record is from RNAcentral. Lineage: Bacteria; Pseudomonadati; Thermodesulfobacteriota; Desulfovibrionia; Desulfovibrionales; Desulfomicrobiaceae.